RNAcentral lists this transfer RNA (76 nucleotides) under Micavibrio sp. TMED27. RNAcentral describes it as "tRNA-Val". It matches the Rfam family "tRNA". From Rfam's summary of the family: Transfer RNA (tRNA) molecules are approximately 80 nucleotides in length. Their secondary structure includes four short double-helical elements and three loops (D, anti-codon, and T loops). Lineage: Bacteria; Pseudomonadati; Bdellovibrionota; Bdellovibrionia; Bdellovibrionales; Pseudobdellovibrionaceae. RNAcentral also lists the same sequence under 1 other name. The record is from RNAcentral.
GGGUGAUUAGCUCAGUUGGUAGAGCAUCUCGUUUACACCGAGGGGGUCGGCAGUUCGAGUCUGUCAUCACCCACCA